CUUUUAUUCAUUUUUUAAAAUUUUAAAUUAACAGUUUAUGACUAUUUUUAGUAGCUGACGAUUUAAAUGCAACAGAAGGAAGGAUUAUUUAAUACAGUUUGUUCUCCCAAUUUUUCCUGGAGUUUAGAAAGCAAAUUAAAAAAACACAUGUUUAUAAUGUUUUUAAUUAAAUGUCAUCAAUAAAUUAAAAAUAAAAAUGUUAAAUAUGUAAAUUACAUGCAAACAUUGUGUUUUUUAAUGAUGAGGUCACUCACUUUUCUGUAAAAUUCCUGUUUUUCAUUCAUCACUUGUUCUUUUACCUGUUUUAGGGGAGUUAGUGCACGUCUGUGCACAGCGGCGUGCAGCACAGGGAAAAAAACUCCACAUUGGAAAUGAGGGACACUAUCUGGAAUUUGUUAACCUUUUUCCUCGUUGCUAAUUAGUGUGGAAAAGAAAAUUUAAAAACAACAUUUGUUCAGGCGGAAGGCUGAGGUUCAAUUACAGAGAACAACUGGCCGGCUGCAGUCUGCUCACCAGAACACAGCAGAUGUCAUCAGGAUAAAAAAAAACAAAACAAUCACACUCGACUCCUGAAAAGAGUGAAAAAGUGGAUUCAUUCUGACCUCAUUGUGUUUCUAUAAACUCUUUUAUAAUAUGACACUGAUGAAAACUGAUGAAAAGCUGCAACCAAACACCAACUGUUGUGUCAAAACACGCUUUGAUUCGACUCACAAAUACAAUUGUUGUUCCUUUCAAAGCAGAAUAGAAUGAACAGUAACAUUUGCAAACUCUGCUAACGCUCUCCGAGAGCUUUUUAAGAUGUGAAGUGAAGCAGAGAUACACGACUGGGAUUGGAUUUGCCAUCCUUCACGCCUGGUUUGGGCCGGCCUAAUUUAUCCUCUCAAGUGACAACACUAUCAGUCACUGGUUGGAGCUAAUGGGUGUCAUUUGUUAGGCUGUGGGAAGUCAGGAAAAAGCUUGAAAAAUAAACACAAACAAGAAACAAAUGAAAAAUGUUGCCAAUGUGUCAGGAGGAGCAUACAACGUCCUGCAUGUGGGUACCUGGAACGUGUCGGCUUUACCACACAAGACCGGACGCCAAAUCGAGACGGGCGUCCGAUUCUCUGGACUCUAUCAGCGCGUCUGUGAUGUGAAUGAUGAUGCCACCCUCCACCUCUGAUAAAACCUCACCACCCAUCUGAGAGGCUGCGAUUUAUUUCAUGGAGUGAACGUGUUACGAGGUUGAAUAAAAAAAAAAUAGAUGUGAAUUCUGAGUCU
RNAcentral lists this long non-coding RNA (1257 nucleotides) under Oryzias javanicus (javanese ricefish). RNAcentral describes it as "lncRNA (ENSOJAG00000009998.1)". Lineage: Eukaryota; Metazoa; Chordata; Actinopteri; Beloniformes; Adrianichthyidae. The record is from RNAcentral.